AUUAGCCGUCAAACACCCUCUUUAUUUUUUUUAGUGAACUCUAUCAACGUCCACUACCCACACGCCACCAUCUCUCCAUCUCCUUUCACCCAAAAACCACUACUACUCUCCCUUCCUCCUUUUUUUCUAUUUCCACUCUGGUGAGGAGCUUCAAGAUCCAAUAAACUGAGCUCCGUCUAAACUCUCUUAUCCUUUGCUCGGCUUCUCCACCAUUGAUGUGAGCUUGAAGCUCCAACAAUGAAGAAACAACAAAAGAUGUCUUACUCUGACAAACCCCAAAAUAUUGGAGAAACAAACCAGACCCAUAACAUUUCUCCCCUCCCUUUUUCUGAUGAAACAGACCCCAAAACACAAAACAGUGAUACCACAACAACAACUAAACCCAGAAAACACCACCCUCCAUAAAACUAGCACUGUCUUUUGCAACUCUGGUGGUGAUUAACUUUUCAUGAAAUAACAACCACGACCUUCAUGUUGCUCACCAAAACAACAACCCUGAACUAGAUCUGUCCUGAACGAUUUAGCCAGAAAGUUAGACUCAGGUGACCCCUUUUUGCCUUUUUAUAUUUUUGCUAUUAUUUAUAUGUUUUGUCGUUUCCAAGUGUGCUCUCUUUUUUUGAACUAUUUUCUUUACCUUCUUUUACUGAUUUUGUGUUAAUUUUAUUUAAAAUUUUGCUAUGUCGAGAUUUAAGUAUCUCCGAUGAACUAUCUUGAACCAUUAGUUAAUCUUUGUUGAAUUUUAAUAUCUUUUCCGUAUUUAAUUCACCAACUACUGCCACAUUGAUAUUUCAAGUUGUUUAACUUGUUGUCUUUAUUCUUUUUAUACAUUUAUAUGUUUUUCUAGAUCUAUAUUUUUAAUUUUUAUGAGUUGUUUGUUGGAAUAUUUUUUCUUUAUAUUUUCAUAAAAGGGGUGCACAAAUCAAUUUAAUUGGUUAAAGUUCUCCUUAUGUUAUUUAUGUUUCUCUUAAUGAUUGGAAAUAUUUUUCAUUAACAUACGGUCUCAGUUUUUCAUUUUUGCUCACUGUUUCAUCAACUUAUGAAUUUAUUCUUGCUAAUGAUUUAUUUUACUUUUGGUAUUUUUUAAAAUUAUUUGGUUUAUUUCAGUGAUUUAUUUUAAUGUUGAAAAGACUUUUAUAAGAGUGUGUUCAUUUUGCAAUAGUAUUGUUUGGAGGCAUUCUCAGUUAUAACUAAUUGAUUGUUUAAGUGGAUAAGAAAAAAAUAUUUUUGUCUGAUUUUUUAGGCCUCCUCUUAACAAAGAUAAUUUAAUUUUUAUGUUCAAUUAUAUAAUAUCAAAAGUUUUGAUUUACUUGGCUGAUGAAGAAAUUUCCAUUGAUUUUCAAGGUCUCCCAUGUAUACAAGAUGAGUUUUACUUUUUGUUUAUUAUUUUUUAAUUCAUUUUGAUAGACAAAUAGGAGGUCGUCUUCGUUAUUCAUGUCUUACUUUAUUUUUUAUAUAUAUUUUAUAUUUAUUAUACAUGUGUAAAUGAAUUUUUAUCUCCUCCUCAAUUAAAAAAAUGAGUUUAGUCAGAACCCACUUUUGUAGAUUUCGAAGAGUGCCCAAUACCUUCCGUUUGGAAUAACUUGAAUCUUUACCUAAAAUCUAAUUGGUCAUGCAAUUUUUUUUUUCAAUUUAAUCAAUUGGUUUCUUAGUUUUCCUAAAAUUCUGUGGCGACUCUCUAAACAUUUUUACAAUAAUUAAUUAAUUAUUUUCAUAUUCCUAAAGUUGUGCUUUAUGAAAAUAAGAAUGUGACUCUUUUAUUAGCUUUUGAAUGGGUGAAGUAUGGGUGUUCUGCCAAUCUUUGUCAACACAGACCAGUUUCUGUUCUAUUUCCUGAUAUAAUAAAAACAACUCAAAAGACAACUAUGUUAGAUCCUAUUAAUGAUAGAUAAUAUAGAAUAUCUUGACAUAAAGUAAAUACUUAAGAGUUGAUUUAUUGAAGGUGAAUUGGCCCA
This 1952-nucleotide long non-coding RNA is filed under the name Capsicum annuum. RNAcentral's name for it is "long non-coding RNA (CANN_LNC005127)". The record is from RNAcentral. Lineage: Eukaryota; Viridiplantae; Streptophyta; Magnoliopsida; Solanales; Solanaceae.